This 478-nucleotide ribosomal RNA is filed under the name Cladosporium sp. RNAcentral's name for it is "eukaryotic LSU rRNA". The stretch from base 124 to 277 matches the Rfam family "5.8S ribosomal RNA". Lineage: Eukaryota; Fungi; Ascomycota; Dothideomycetes; Cladosporiales; Cladosporiaceae. The record is from RNAcentral.
UAACCCUUUGUUGUCCGACUCUGUUGCCUCCGGGGCGACCCUGCCUUCGGGCGGGGGCUCCGGGUGGACACUUCAAACUCUUGCGUAACUUUGCAGUCUGAGUAAACUUAAUUAAUAAAUUAAAACUUUUAACAACGGAUCUCUUGGUUCUGGCAUCGAUGAAGAACGCAGCGAAAUGCGAUAAGUAAUGUGAAUUGCAGAAUUCAGUGAAUCAUCGAAUCUUUGAACGCACAUUGCGCCCCCUGGUAUUCCGGGGGGCAUGCCUGUUCGAGCGUCAUUUCACCACUCAAGCCUCGCUUGGUAUUGGGCAUCGCGGUCCGCCGCGUGCCUCAAAUCGACCGGCUGGGUCUUCUGUCCCCUAAGCGUUGUGGAAACUAUUCGCUAAAGGGUGUUCGGGAGGCUACGCCGUAAAACAACCCCAUUUCUAAGGUUGACCUCGGAUCAGGUAGGGAUACCCGCUGAACUUAAGCAUAUCAAU